UUCCCUCUGAUGAGCUGACAGGCGAAACGCGCGUCAGGGAG
RNAcentral lists this non-coding RNA (41 nucleotides) under Pelobates cultripes (western spadefoot toad). The record is from RNAcentral. Lineage: Eukaryota; Metazoa; Chordata; Amphibia; Anura; Pelobatidae.